Molecule: ribosomal RNA, 420 nt
Filed under: bacterium
Lineage: Bacteria
Description: partial 16S ribosomal RNA
Rfam family: Bacterial small subunit ribosomal RNA
Source: RNAcentral
UGGGGGAUAUUGCACAAUGGGCGAAAGCCUGAUGCAGCGACGCCGCGUGGGGGAUGAAGGCUUUCGGGUUGUAAACCUCUUUCGCUAUCGAACAAGGCCCGCUUAGGGUGGGUUGAGGGUAGGUGGAGAAGAAGCGCCGGCUAACUACGUGCCAGCAGCCGCGGUAAUACGUAGGGCGCGAGCGUUGUCCGGAAUUAUUGGGCGUAAAGGGCUUGUAGGCGGCUUGUUGCGCCUGCUGUGAAAACGCGGGGCUUAACUUCGCGCGUGCAGUGGGUACGGGCAGGCUUGAGUGUGGUAGGGGUGACUGGAAUUCCAGGUGUAGCGGUGGAAUGCGCAGAUAUCUGGAGGAAAACCGAUGGCGAAGGCAGGUCACUGGGGCAUUACUGACGCUGAGGAGCGAAAGCAGGGGUAGCGAACAGG